RNAcentral lists this long non-coding RNA (221 nucleotides) under Elaeis guineensis (African oil palm). RNAcentral describes it as "long non-coding RNA (EGUI_LNC001034)". Lineage: Eukaryota; Viridiplantae; Streptophyta; Magnoliopsida; Arecales; Arecaceae. The record is from RNAcentral.
UUUGUUUGAUCUAAAUCACAUAUAGAUUGCAGAGUUAACUCAUCUUCAUCUCUAUUUUUUCCCAUGGCCAGCCAGGCACAUUCGAUCACCAACCAUCGAAUGCAGAGGCUUUUAGGUUUAUGCUCUCCUUCUCCUUCUAUCUCUCUGCCUUGAACAAUAUUAUAUUUGUGUCUUUGGAUGUCAGGAGAGAAAGAUGAUCGCUCACAACCACCAUAUCUAUC